AUUGAACGCUGGCGGCAUGCCUUACACAUGCAAGUCGAACGGCAGCACGGGUGCUUGCACCUGGUGGCGAGUGGCGAACGGGUGAGUAAUACAUCGGAACAUGUCCUGUAGUGGGGGAUAGCCCGGCGAAAGCCGGAUUAAUACCGCAUACGAUCUACGGAUGAAAGCGGGGGACCUUCGGGCCUCGCGCUAUAGGGUUGGUCGAUGGCUGAUUAGCUAGUUGGUGGGGUAAAGGCCUACCAAGGCGACGAUCAGUAGCUGGUCUGAGAGGACGACCAGCCACACUGGGACUGAGACACGGCCCAGACUCCUACGGGAGGCAGCAGUGGGGAAUUUUGGACAAUGGGCGAAAGCCUGAUCCAGCAAUGCCGCGUGUGUGAAGAAGGCCUUCGGGUUGUAAAGCACUUUUGUCCGGAAAGAAAUCCUUGGCUCUAAUACAGUCGGGGGAUGACGGUACCGGAAGAAUAAGCACCGGCUAACUACGUG
Molecule: ribosomal RNA, 486 nt
Filed under: uncultured bacterium
Lineage: Bacteria
Description: partial 16S ribosomal RNA
Rfam family: Bacterial small subunit ribosomal RNA
Source: RNAcentral